AAGUCGUAACAAGGUUUCCGUAGGUGAACCUGCGGAAGGAUCAUUAACACGUAUCCAACGUUAAACAACCCUGUGAACUUUCAACGCUCUUGUAGCCCCAGAGGAACAGCAAUCCCGGUAAAUCAAUGGCGGAAAAGUUUUGAUUCGGGACGUGAGAAGGAUCACUGAGUAAGGAUAACGCAUCACGGUUGCCAGAGGUCGAUCACCGGCCGGCAGACAUGUCACAGGGCGUGCGCGCCCCCUCAUUCACCCCUUGCCCUCUCAAGCCUCGCGGAAACGCCGGGCAUAAAAACCGAACAACUGUUAACAAUGGAUAUCUUGGUUCUC
Molecule: unclassified non-coding RNA, 327 nt
Filed under: fungal sp.
Lineage: Eukaryota; Fungi
Description: partial internal transcribed spacer region
Rfam family: Eukaryotic small subunit ribosomal RNA (bases 1-46)
Source: RNAcentral